CUUUUCCUGCAGAGGGUGCUUCACUAGAACAACUUUUCUGAUUUUUUAUUCCUUUGCAUACUCCUCUCUAGGAGAAGUGAAGUGGCUUAUGUUUUUCAUCAGUUUCAAAGCCCCCUCUUCUCAUAUUUUCUCCCCUCUUUGGGACCCAGCUGCCAAGGAACAGGCUUUGUGUCCCAUCCCCCAUGCGUUCCUUUGCCUGCAUUAAGCAUUCAGAAGUCAAGAAAAGAAGAGUGUGGUUUCUUGGGCUGCUUCAGAAGCCAAAAUUAAGAAUGCAGUAGUGAAAAUGUGACUAUGAUCAUCUCAGAGCACUGUGUGGAUAAAAUGGCUAUCAAAGUAAAAAUUCCUAUUUACCAUACUGAAGACUUCUGACUCUUGAGGCAAAAGGAAUUCUGAGGGCAUAAAUGGGAGACCUUCUAUUUUAUAGAAGUUUUGGAUUCUGCAAGUUCCAGGCUCAAUACUGGUGUGGGACCACUUAGCUCCUUUCAAUGAAUUUAUGAUUAAGCAAGAGUUUCAAGUUCUGCCUCAAUCUUGCCAGAGCCCUAAGGCAUAGUCCCUGGAUGACAGAGCUGAUGAAGACAUCUGCCUCAAGGGCUACUUCUGGGCAUCCUGUGAGUCAAGAUGCUGAGACAUACAGUUUCACUUAUUUUUGACAUCCUGAAGGCAACUGGAUGUUUCAAGUUCAGAUGAUGAGAAAGGUCUCCAUAAAAUUCAAGCUUUGGGGUAUGAAAACAGUGUUCAAAUAAAGCUGCUAGAGGUGCUUUCAAACACUGCCAAAAACGAAGAUGACAUGAUGAUAAUCUAAUAGACUUGGAGCCAGCAUCUGACA
RNAcentral lists this long non-coding RNA (826 nucleotides) under Homo sapiens (human). RNAcentral's name for it is "non-protein coding LINC02306:11". The record is from RNAcentral. Lineage: Eukaryota; Metazoa; Chordata; Mammalia; Primates; Hominidae.